This 77-nucleotide transfer RNA is filed under the name Albidovulum sp. RNAcentral's name for it is "tRNA-Pro". It matches the Rfam family "tRNA". Rfam says of the family: Transfer RNA (tRNA) molecules are approximately 80 nucleotides in length. Their secondary structure includes four short double-helical elements and three loops (D, anti-codon, and T loops). Further hydrogen bonds mediate the characteristic L-shaped molecular structure. tRNAs have two regions of fundamental functional importance: the anti-codon, which is responsible for specific mRNA codon recognition, and the 3' end, to which the tRNAs corresponding amino acid is attached (by aminoacyl-tRNA synthetases). tRNAs cope with the degeneracy of the genetic code in two manners: having more than one tRNA (with a specific anti-codon) for a particular amino acid; and 'wobble' base-pairing, i.e. permitting non-standard base-pairing at the 3rd anti-codon position. The record is from RNAcentral. RNAcentral also lists the same sequence under 6 other names. Lineage: Bacteria; Pseudomonadati; Pseudomonadota; Alphaproteobacteria; Rhodobacterales; Paracoccaceae.
CGGAGCGUAGCGCAGCCUGGUAGCGCACCUGCUUCGGGAGCAGGGGGUCGGAGGUUCAAAUCCUCUCGCUCCGACCA